AAAGUCUGACCGAGCAACGCCGCGUGAGUGAAGAAGGUUUUCGGAUCGUAAAGCUCUGUUGUAAGUCAAGAACGUGUGUGAGAGUGGAGAGUUCACACAGUGACGGUAGCUUACCAGAAAGGGACGGCUAACUACGUGCCAGCAGCCGCGGUAAUACGUAGGUCCCGAGCGUUGUCCGGAUUUAUUGGGCGUAAAGGGAGCGCAGGCGGUCAGGAAAGUCUGGAGUAAAAGGCUAUGGCUCAACCAUAGUGUGCUCUGGAAACUGUCUGACUUGAGUGCAGAAGGGGAGAGUGGAAUUCCAUGUGUAGCGGUGAAAUGCGUAGAUAUAUGGAGGAACACCAGUGGCGAAAGCGGCUCUCUGGUCUGUCACUGACGCUGAGGCUCGAAAGCGUGGGUAGCGAACAGGAUUAGAUACCCUGGUAGUCCACGCCGUAAACGAUGAGUGCUAGGUGUUAGGCCCUUUCCGGGGCUUAGUGCCGGAGCUAACGCAAUAAGCACUCCGCCUGGGGAGUACGACCGCAAGGUUGAAACUCAAAGGAAUUGACGGGGGCCCGCACAAGCGGUGGAGCAUGUGGUUUAAUUCGAAGCAACGCGAAGAACCUUACCAGGUCUUGACAUCCCGAUGCUAUUCUUAGAGAUAGGAAGUUACUUCGGUACAUCGGAGACAGGUGGUGCAUGG
RNAcentral lists this ribosomal RNA (679 nucleotides) under Streptococcus mutans. Its description in RNAcentral is "bacterial SSU rRNA". It matches the Rfam family "Bacterial small subunit ribosomal RNA", at positions 378 to 1048 of the family's 1533-position model. The record is from RNAcentral. Lineage: Bacteria; Bacillati; Bacillota; Bacilli; Lactobacillales; Streptococcaceae.